This 425-nucleotide ribosomal RNA is filed under the name uncultured bacterium. RNAcentral describes it as "partial 16S ribosomal RNA". It matches the Rfam family "Bacterial small subunit ribosomal RNA", at positions 354 to 796 of the family's 1533-position model. The record is from RNAcentral.
GUGGGGAAUAUUGGGCAAUGGGCGAAAGCCUGACCCAGCAACGCCGCGUGAAGGAAGAAGGUCUUCGGAUCGUAAACUUCUAUCCUUGGUGAAGAUAAUGACGGUAGCCGAGAAGGAAGCCCCGGCUAACUACGUGCCAGCAGCCGCGGUAAUACGGAGGGGGCAAGCGUGGUCCGGAAUGAUUGGGCGUAAAGGGCGCGUAGGCGGCCUGGUAAGUCUGGAGUGAAAGUCCUGCUUUUAAGGUGGGAAUUGCUUUGGAGACUGUCGGGCUUGAGUGCAGGAGAGGUAAGUGGAAUUCCCGGUGUAGCGGUGAAAUGCGUAGAGAUCGGGAGGAACACCAGUGGCGAAGGCGACUUACUGGACUGUAACUGACGCUGAGGCGCGAAAGUGUGGGGAGCAAACAGGAUUAGAAACCCCGGUAGUCC